This 630-nucleotide long non-coding RNA is filed under the name Gallus gallus (chicken). RNAcentral describes it as "lncRNA (ENSGALG00010003721.1)". The record is from RNAcentral. Lineage: Eukaryota; Metazoa; Chordata; Aves; Galliformes; Phasianidae.
AUUAUGACCUAUAGGACACCCAUCCCGCCCCAUAGAGCCCCAUAGAACCCCAUAGGACACCCAUCCCGCCCCAUAGGACCCCAUUCCGCCCCAUAGAGCCCCAUAGAACCCCAUAGGACACCCAUUAUGGCCCAGAGGGCCCCCAUUCCGCCCCAUAGAGCCCCAUAGAACACCCUAGGACCCCCUUCUGCCCCAUUAGGCCCCAUAGAACCCCCAUCCCGCCCCAUAGGUCACCCAUCCCGCCCCAUAGAGCCCCAUUGCGCCCCAUAGAGCCCCAUAGAACCCCAUAGGUCACCCAUCCCGCCCCAUAGAGCCCCACAGAACCCCAUAGGACACCCAUUCCGCCCCAUAGGACACCCAGUAUGACCCAUAGGGCCCCCAUUCCGCCCCAUAGAGCCCCAUAGAGCCCCAUAGGUCACCCAUCCCGCCCCAUAGAGCCCCAUUGCGCCCCAUAGAACCCCAUAGGUCACCCAUCCCGCCCCAUAGAGCCCCAUAGAACCCCAUAGGACACCCAUUCCGCCCCAUAGGACACCCAUCCCGCCCCAUAGACCCCCAUAGAACCCCAUAGGUCACCCAUCCUGCCCCAUAGGACCCCAUUCUGCCCCAUAGAACCCCCAUCCCGCCCCAUAG